Molecule: ribosomal RNA, 582 nt
Filed under: uncultured bacterium
Lineage: Bacteria
Description: bacterial SSU rRNA
Rfam family: Bacterial small subunit ribosomal RNA
Source: RNAcentral
AGAGUUUGAUCCUGGCUCAGAACGAACGCUGGCGGCAGGCUUAACACAUGCAAGUCGAACGGGCAUAGCAAUAUGUCAGUGGCAGACGGGUGAGUAACACGUGGGAACCUUCCUAGAGGUACGGAACAACGCAGGGAAACUUGCGCUAAUACCGUAUACGCUCUUGCGAGGAAAGAUUUAUCGCCUUUAGACGGGCCCGCGUAGGAUUAGGUAGUUGGUGAGGUAACGGCUCACCAAGCCUACGAUCCUUAGCUGAUCUGAGAGGAUGAUCAGCCACACUGGGACUGAGACACGGCCCAGACUCCUACGGGAGGCAGCAGUGGGGAAUAUUGGACAAUGGGCGCAAGCCUGACCCAGCCAUGCCGCGUGAGUGAAGAAGGCCUUCGGGUUGUAAAGCUCUUUUACCAGGGACGAUAAUGACGGUACCUGGAGAAUAAGCCCCGGCAAACUUCGUGCCAGCAGCCGCGGUAAUACGAAGGGGGCUAGCGUUGUUCGGAAUUACUGGGCGUAAAGCGCACGUAGGCUGACAUUUAAGUGAGAGGUGAAAUCCCAAGGCUCAACCUUGGAACUGCCUUUCAUACU